AUAAUGACAUAUUUUAUCCUUCUUACUAUUUGAAUUAAUUUAAACAAAAAAAGAAAAAGAAAAAGGGGCAUGGACCCCACUCGAAAUCUUCAUCUUCUCUCUCCUUCAAACCCGAUCUCCACCGGAAUCCCAAUCCUCCUCCUCCAUAGCUAAAUCGAUGAGCGCCUCCUCCAUUAAACUCCAUCAUCUCUCUCAUCAACACGAGAAGCAACCCAACAACUGAGGUAAUAC
RNAcentral lists this long non-coding RNA (231 nucleotides) under Capsella grandiflora. RNAcentral's name for it is "long non-coding RNA (CGRA_LNC000640)". The record is from RNAcentral. Lineage: Eukaryota; Viridiplantae; Streptophyta; Magnoliopsida; Brassicales; Brassicaceae.